CCCCAGACUCCUACGGGAGGCAGCAGUGGGGAAUAUUGCACAAUGGGGGAAACCCUGAUGCAGCGACGCCGCGUGAGUGAAGAAGUAUUUCGGUAUGUAAAGCUCUAUCAGCAGGGAAGAAGUUGACGGUACCUGAGUAAGAAGCCCCGGCUAACUACGUGCCAGCAGCCGCGGUAAUACGUAGGGGGCAAGCGUUAUCCGGAUUUACUGGGUGUAAAGGGAGCGUAGACGGCAGUGCAAGUCUGAAGUGGAAGCCCCGGGGUUAACCCGGGAAUUGCUUUGGAAACUGUACGGCUGGAGUGCUGGAGAGGUAAGCGGAAUUCCUAGUGUAGCGGUGAAAUGCGUAGAUAUUAGGAGGGACACCAGUGGCGAAGGCGGCUUACUGGACAGUAACUGACGUUGAGGCUCGAAAGCGUGGGGAGCAAACAGGAUUAGAUACCCCAGUAAC
This 448-nucleotide ribosomal RNA is filed under the name uncultured bacterium. RNAcentral describes it as "bacterial SSU rRNA". It matches the Rfam family "Bacterial small subunit ribosomal RNA", at positions 329 to 794 of the family's 1533-position model. The record is from RNAcentral.